RNAcentral lists this ribosomal RNA (1262 nucleotides) under metagenome. Its description in RNAcentral is "bacterial LSU rRNA". It matches the Rfam family "Bacterial large subunit ribosomal RNA", at positions 1634 to 2891 of the family's 2925-position model. The record is from RNAcentral.
UUAUACGACCGUACCGCAAACCGACACUGGUGCGCGAGAUGAGUAUUCUAAGGCGCUUGAGAGAACUCAGGAGAAGGAACUCGGCAAAUUGACACCGUAACUUCGGAAGAAGGUGUGCCCUAUUAGUGUGUAGUGAACAACGAAGCAUGAAUGGGUUGCAAAAAAUCGGUGGCUGCGACUGUUUAUUAAAAACACAGCACUCUGCAAACACGAAAGUGGACGUAUAGGGUGUGACGCCUGCCCGGUGCUGGAAGAUUAAAUGAUGGGGUGCAAGCUCUUGAUUGAAGUCCCAGUAAACGGCGGCCGUAACAAUAACGGUCCUAAGGUAGCGAAAUUCCUUGUCGGGUAAGUUCCGACCUGCACGAAUGGCGUAACGAUGGCCACACUGUCUCCUCCUGAGACUCAGCGAAGUUGAAAUGUUUGUGAUGAUGCAAUCUCCCCGCGGAAAGACGGAAAGACCCCAUGAACCUUUACUGUAGCUUUGUAUUCGACUUUGAACAGAUCUGUGUAGGAUAGGUGGGAGGCUUUGAAGCAGGGUCGCUAGAUCUUGUGGAGCCAACGUUGAAAUACCACCCUGGUGUGUUUGAGGUUCUAACCUAGGUCCAUUAUCUGGAUCGGGGACAGUGCAUGGUAGGCAGUUUGACUGGGGCGGUCUCCUCCCAAAGCGUAACGGAGGAGUUCGAAGGUACGCUAGUUACGGUCGGACAUCGUGACGAUAGUGCAAUGGCAUAAGCGUGCUUAACUGCGAGACUGACAAGUCGAGCAGAUGCGAAAGCAGGACAUAGUGAUCCGGUGGUUCUGUAUGGAAGGGCCAUCGCUCAACGGAUAAAAGGUACUCUGGGGAUAACAGGCUGAUACCGCCCAAGAGUUCAUAUCGACGGCGGUGUUUGGCACCUCGAUGUCGGCUCAUCUCAUCCUGGGGCUGUAGCCGGUCCCAAGGGUAUGGCUGUUCGCCAUUUAAAGAGGUACGUGAGCUGGGUUUAAAACGUCGUGAGACAGUUUGGUCCCUAUCUUCCGUGGGCGCUGCAGAUUUGAGGAAGCCUGCUCCUAGUACGAGAGGACCGGAGUGGACACACCUCUGGUGUAUCGGUUGUCACGCCAGUGGCAUUGCCGAGUAGCUAAGUGUGGAAGAGAUAACCGCUGAAAGCAUCUAAGCGGGAAACUCGUUUCAAGAUGAGAUCUGCCGGGGCCUUGAGCCCCCUAAAGAGUCGUUCAAGACCAGGACGUUGAUAGGUCAGGUGUGGAAGCGAAAAAAAAAAAAU